GUCUACAGCCAUGCUACCCUGAACAAGCCCGAUCCCAUCUGAUCUCAGAAGCUAAGCAGGUUGGGCCUGGUUAGUACUUGGAUAGGAGACCACCUAGGAAGACCGGGUGCUGUAGGUG
Molecule: ribosomal RNA, 118 nt
Filed under: Pteropus alecto (black flying fox)
Lineage: Eukaryota; Metazoa; Chordata; Mammalia; Chiroptera; Pteropodidae
Source: RNAcentral